UACGUAGGUGGCAAGCGUUGUCCGGAUUUAUUGGGCGUAAAGCGCGCGCAGGCGGUCUUUUAAGUCUGAUGUGAAAGCCCCCGGCUUAACCGGGGAGGGUCAUUGGAAACUGGAAGACUGGAGUGCAGAAGAGGAGAGUGGAAUUCCACGUGUAGCGGUGAAAUGCGUAGAUAUGUGGAGGAACACCAGUGGCGAAGGCGACUCUCUGGUCUGUAACUGACGCUGAGGAGCGAAAGCGUGGGGAGCGAACAGG
RNAcentral lists this ribosomal RNA (253 nucleotides) under uncultured bacterium. RNAcentral's name for it is "partial 16S ribosomal RNA". It matches the Rfam family "Bacterial small subunit ribosomal RNA", at positions 524 to 776 of the family's 1533-position model. The record is from RNAcentral.